Molecule: long non-coding RNA, 4538 nt
Organism: Melospiza melodia melodia
Lineage: Eukaryota; Metazoa; Chordata; Aves; Passeriformes; Passerellidae
Exons: 2
Source: RefSeq, a predicted model, not a curated record
AGGUGCUCAUAGAUCACAGAUCAAGUGUCAUAGAUCAAACAGUGGCUCCUUACAGUGCAGAGGACUUCAAGGCAUGAUGGAGCGGCGGUAUUCCCGGCGGUCAAGCAGCUCCAUCAGGAACCGCCAGAUGACCAGGACCAGAACGCCAAUGAGGAGCACGCCGGCGAUGGUGCCGCCCACGAUCAGUGGGAUGUUGGGAGGCUGUGGGCACUCUGUGGGACAGACAGACAGACAGAUGGUGUCACGCUGCAGCCCCUGGUGAGGCAGCCUGCUGGCAGCCCGCCUGUGGCAGGGCAGGAGGAGCGGGGAUGGGAUACCUCUCUCAGGAUCGACGAUGAUGGUGUAUAUCUCCUCUCCAUCCUCCUGGACCAUAUGGAAGGACAUCCAGCAGUUCUGGGAAUCCUUUUCCCUGCAUUUCCUACCAUUUGUGCUCACGUCUUUUGAGUUUGUAGGCAGAUGGAUGUUGGCACAGGCCUGGGAGCAGUUCUUCUCAAAGGGGCCGCUGCCGAAGAACUUGCACUCCACGCAGGAGCUGCAAAACAAGCAGCUGCAGCUCACAUCUGCAGGGGCAGAGACCCUCUCACCUGGAUUUGGGCAUUUUGGGCCCUGCCUGUGCAUCCCUGGGAUACUGGGGAUCCCCGCUGCCCCCGUGCCCAUCACUCACAUGUAUCUGCCACAGGGAGAAGGGCAGCCUGGGCACUCCUGGCAGAAGGGGGGCUGGUACCCCCCCCUGCACUGGCAGCGGUUGCAGAGGCAGGUCCCACGGAGGCUGCACACAUUUCUGUGGGCAUUGAGGCAGUUCUGCGUGGAUUGCUGGCACUGGCAGGCGCUGCCCUCAUAGCCAGGCUGGCACUUGCACGCCCCACAGUCGCAUUGCCCACGUGCUGCAGAGGAAGAGAUCUUUCAGAUCCUGCAGACAGCCAGGCCACCCACCCUGCGCUCACGACACCAGAGUCCAUUUGAGGACCUCAAGGAGGUCCUACAGGCUGGUGUGGUGGGACCCAGCAGCCCCAAACCCUCCCACUGGGGUUAUGGCACGAAAAGGCCGCAUCUCCCUGGGCACUGAACUCCUGUGAGCAGUGGAGAAGCUGUCCCUGGUGCAUCACCUGGGCCGCCGCAGAGGGAGCCGUUGAAGAACUCGCAGUUCAUGUUGUCACACUGGCAGAAGGUGCCGUAGAUGUACUUGCCAGGCACGUCGCUGGUGUGGCACACGCACUGCCCGCACACGCAGUCCCCCUGCCCCGAGCAGGGCACCGAGCUGUUGUCCCUGCGGCAGCUGCUCUCCAGCUCCUUGCUGCUCCUCCCUUUGGUGUCGCACUCGCAGUUCUUCCCUGUGUACCUCGAGUUGCAGCUGCCGCCAGAGGAGGGGAGCAAGCUUGGGUCAGUGAUGUGCCAUGCACAGGGCCCAGACCUCUCUUUUGCUACCCCUGUAGCAAAUCUGGGACAGCCUCACCAAAAAGCAAUGACAGCACGUUGGUGCUAACGCCAUGCUGGAGCAGGGAGCAAACCUCAGAAAUGUUGCUUUUCCACCAGUCAUAUUCACAACACCAAAUAAAUUAUUCUUACAUUUAUAAUUUCUGAGCCCUUGCCAAGGAGAUGUGAGUAUUUCCUGAGGAAACCCAGUCUUUUCCUCUCCUUGUCACUGAGAGGCCAUGAAGCAAUAAUUACGCUCAAAGACCUGUGAGAGCUGCGGCCAAGAAAUGGGAUUUUGAGAGAUUUCUACAGAUAUCUGUGUCUGCUCAGUGGGUGGACUGGUGGAUGAUUUGAUACUGGGAUGGAUGGGUGGAUCAUUGGAUAGAUUGAGGCCCUUAGGAAAACAGCAUAACCUCCACCAAGAGAAGAGUCAGCUCAUUGUGCCCCUGCCUCUGUGUACACAGGGGACAGUUCCAAGGGGAAUGCACAAAUUCACCUCUCUGAACAAAAAAAAAUUGUGCAAAUCUACAGAGCUCAGCUCUGGUUCGUCCCAACAUCCCUCUCCCAGCAAUUCCCCAGCUCUGGCAGCAUUUGAACUCGUGUUUUGGGUGGACAGCACAUACCUGCAGAUGCCACAUUCGAUGCUGCCUUGCCCAUUGCAAGCACCUGUGUCAGGCUUGUCAUUGCAGUGGCAGUCACAGUUGCUGGACACGUGGACAGUGAGGGUGUCUGUGAAGCCCAGGGGCCGGAUGGCAAAGGAAUAGUUUGGAAUGCACGCCUUGGCUGUGACCUUCACUUUGAAGGUGACCUAGAAAGGGCAGAGUAGGACAGGGGAGGGCCAGAUGUCCAGCUGUCAGAGUGUGGUUUUGGCCCUAGGCUGAGGACAUGCACAUCCAGAACAUCGGAGGAUGUCCCACAUCCCAUAGCAUUUUGGACACUCUUGGCAUUAAAUUAAUACAAACAAAAAGCCUGGAAGAGCAACCAGGGUUCCUGUCACUAAACAGGAUGGGCAACAGAAGCUGUGCAAGAUUCUGUUCCUGGUACAGGAGAGCAUACCUCUUCAUUGAUCUUGACAUUGUCGCAUUUGCCUCUUGCUUCAUCCACGGAGUCCUUGUCAUUUUUGCAUUUGGAGUCAUAUUUGACAUCCAGAGUGUCCAGCAAGGUGGAAUGGUCCAAGAUGAUCCGCGAGGAGAGGUUCUUUGGAAAAAUGGUGGAGAAAGUGCCAUCAGUCCAAAAGCAGACUGAACCAAGAGGGUAUGGGGUUGCAGGUCAGGAAAAAGAGCCAGAGAGCACCACAGGUCAGGAUCUCAGCUGCCUGGAGUGGUUCUGGAAAUGCAGGUGAUGUCAUUGGAGAGGUGGAACUCCAGCACAUACAUUGUAGGCCACUUGGAUGAGCUCAAUGAUGUUGCUGGAGUCCUGGUUCAGCUCUCCCACUGCCGACUUUGGGAUCAUCUCACUGAGUUUCUGUAAUGGAGAGCAAAGAGGUGAGCACUUCCUACCACAUGACUGCAGAGCAGGAGACAGACACAGCUGUGUCCGUCCUCCUGGGAAGGGGAUGGAGGCACCUGGACCAUCUGACAUAUUCUCACCUUGUAAACAUCCACCACCCUACUGGUGACAGCAAAAAUGGGCUGAAUGUUGUUUUCGGCAAGUUUCUGGACCAGCUGGCCAACAGAUGGGUAGUCCUGGAUGGGGAGAGGGAUAUCACACUCAGCACAACCUCCCCCACCAGCAGAAGAGGGUGGGGGACCGCACCACACACUUUGGGUGUGGCAGCACAACUUGUGGUGAUUGAGGGGAUGUUUUGGUCUCUGCAACAGGCUGUUUUACAUAACGUUGUGUUUUCUGCCUGGAGGAGGGAGAUGGGGGCUGCUGGAUAUGCUGAACAGCCCCCAGGUACUUACAAACUCGUUGCUCUUUUUGUACAUGUUGUCCUCCAAGUGGCACUUGCCAUCGUUGGGGGUCAGGAUGCCCGCAAGCUUGCCAUCCCCAGCAAAGUGGAAUCCGUCAUCAGUAGCAAACACCAGCAAGCGGGUCACGUUGCGCCAGCCAAUCUGGUCCUGCAAGUGGCACACAGAGUGGGCCCUGUCCCUGAGCAAGGCUGGCAGGACAGUGCCAGUGGGCACCCUUUCCAUACUCUUGUGUGAGCCACAGUGUGGGGCAGGGGGCCCAAGGAAGGUGGGUUAAGGGAGAUCAGGGUUAGGAGGCUCUGGGGUAAGAUGCUCUCUGGAGUGACCUGCCUUGCUGCUGGAUCAGAAUUCAGGCAGGAUGAGCUUCCAGAGCCCACUGGGGAGGGGGAAAGCAGCCCUCUCCAGGGUGUGUGUGGGCAGCAGCGCUCCUGCCUGAGCACAGCUGCUGGCAGAGGGCAGGACUCACCCCGCACACCGCCGCCUGCAUCAUGGCAUCCAGCCCUCCCUCUGGGGCAUCCAGGUUCCCUGAGAUGAACUGCUUGCCCACUUCACUCUCAAACUGCUGGGCGUUGUCCGUCAGCGACAGGAUGUGCUUGAAGGCGAAGGGAGGCUGGCACUUGGUGCUCUUAUUGGGGCAGGGGUUCUUCAGCUUCUCGGGGUGCGUGUUCACGAACGGCAGCACUGUCUUGUCCACAAAGGAGCCAAACCCUAGGGCAGCCAGACCAGAGUUUUAGGGACAGGGCACAGGGCAAUCUGCUGGCCCCAGUGUACAUGCCCAUGUCCCUUGCCCUGCAGAGGACAACCUGCUGUCCACUCCCCGCAUCCCCCUCCAGCCCUGCGGCUCCUCCCAAACAGAUGUGCCAGGCUGAAGACAGGCUCACCUGUCACAGACACGUUUUACGAAAAAUCCUUUCCUUAAAAUUUUUUCUCCUGAGAAGCUGAGAAGCCUCGCAAACAAAAUGUAACCAAUGAUUAUCUGCUGCUGUGGAAUGCAACAGGUGGAUUGUGAUUGGUCUCAUGUGGUUGUUUCUAAUUAAUGGCCAAUCACAUUCCAGCUGUCCAGACUGUCUCGGUCAGUCACAAGCCUUUGUUAUAAUUCUUCUUCUAUUCUUAGCUAACCUUCUGAUGAAACCCUUUCUUCUAUUCUUUUGGUAUAAUUUUUGUACAGUUUUAAUACAAUAUAUGUCAUAAAAUAAUAAAUCAAGCCUUCUGAAA